Molecule: ribosomal RNA, 1143 nt
Filed under: Halomonas saccharevitans
Lineage: Bacteria; Pseudomonadati; Pseudomonadota; Gammaproteobacteria; Oceanospirillales; Halomonadaceae
Description: bacterial LSU rRNA
Rfam family: Bacterial large subunit ribosomal RNA
Source: RNAcentral
AUAUGGUCAAGCGAUGAAGCGCACACGGUGGAUGCCUAGGCAGCCAGAGGCGAUGAAAGACGUGGAAGCCUGCGAUAAGGCUCGGCGAGGUGGCAAACAACCUGCGACCCGGGCAUUUCUGAAUGGGGAAACCCACCCACGGUAACGUGGGUAUCCUGCACUGAAUACAUAGGUGUCAGGAGGCGAACCGGGGGAACUGAAACAUCUCAUUACCCCGAGGAAAAGAAAUCAACCGAGAUUCCCCUAGUAGCGGCGAGCGAACGGGGACCAGCCCUUAAGCACCAUGACUGAUAGACGAAGCGGUUGGGAAGCCGCGCGAUACAGGGUGAUAGCCCCGUAGUCGAAAUCUGAUUGGUGUGAAAUCGAGUAGGUCGGGGCACGAGAAACCUUGACUGAAGACGGGGGGACCAUCCUCCAAGGCUAAAUACUCCUGGCUGACCGAUAGUGAACCAGUACCGUGAGGGAAAGGCGAAAAGAACCCCGGAGAGGGGAGUGAAAUAGAUCCUGAAACCGUGUGCGUACAAGCAGUGGGAGCAGACUCGUUCUGUGACCGCGUACCUUUUGUAUAAUGGGUCAGCGACUUAUUUUCAGUGGCGAGCUUAACCGUAUAGGGGAGGCGUAGGGAAACCGAGUCUUAACUGGGCGACCAGUCGCUGGGAAUAGACCCGAAACCGGGCGAUCUAUCCAUGAGCAGGUUGAAGGUUGAGUAACAUCAACUGGAGGACCGAACCAGGAUCUGUUGAAAAAGAUUUGGAUGACUUGUGGAUCGGAGUGAAAGGCUAAUCAAGCCCGGAGAUAGCUGGUUCUCCUCGAAAGCUAUUUAGGUAGCGCCUCACGUAGCACCGCCGGGGGUAGAGCACUGUUUCGGCUAGGGGGUCAUCCCGACUUACCAACCCGAGGCAAACUCCGAAUACCGGUGAGUGACGCGUGGGAGACACACAGCGGGUGCUAACGUCCGUUGUGAAAAGGGAAACAACCCAGACCGUCAGCUAAGGUCCCCAAAUCCUGGUUAAGUGGGAAACGAUGUGGGAAGGCUCAGACAGCUAGGAGGUUGGCUUAGAAGCAGCCAUCCUUUAAAGAAAGCGUAAUAGCUCACUAGUCGAGUCGGCCUGCGCGGAAGAUGUAACGGGGCUCAAACCAGGU